CGUGNGUAACCUGCCCAUAANAGGGGGAUAAUCCAUGGAAACGUGGACUAAUACCGCAUAUUGUAGUUAAGUUGCAUGACUUGAUUAUGAAAGAUUUAUCGCUUAUGGAUGGACUCGCGUCAGAUUAGAUAGUUGGUGAGGUAACGGCUCACCAAGUCAACGAUCUGUAGCCGAACUGAGAGGUUGAUCGGCCGCAUUGGGACUGAGACACGGCCCAGACUCCUACGGGAGGCAGCAUG
Molecule: ribosomal RNA, 239 nt
Filed under: uncultured bacterium
Lineage: Bacteria
Description: partial 16S ribosomal RNA
Rfam family: Bacterial small subunit ribosomal RNA
Source: RNAcentral